The sequence is a ribosomal RNA, 1167 nucleotides long. It matches the Rfam family "Archaeal large subunit ribosomal RNA", at positions 1809 to 2975 of the family's 2987-position model.
AUUCGGCAAGUUAGUCCCGUAAGUUCGCGAUAAGGGAUGCCUGCUCUUGACCGAGCAGGUCGCAGUGACUCGGACGCUCCGACUGUCUAGUAACAACAUAGGUGACCGCAAAUCCGCAAGGACUCGUACGGUCACUGAAUCCUGCCCAGUGCGGGUAUCUGAACACCUAGUACAAUAGGACGAAGGACCCGUCAACGGCGGGGGUAACUAUGACCCUCUUAAGGUAGCGUAGUACCUUGCCGCUUCAGUAGCGGCUUGCAUGAAUGGAUCAACGAGAGCGUCACUGUCCCAACGUUGGGCCCGGUGAACAGUACGUUCCAGUGCGGAGUCUGGAGACCCCCAAGGGGAAGCGAAGACCCUAUAGAGCUUUACUGCAGGCUGUCGCUGAGACGUGGUCGCUAAUGUGCAGCAUAGGUAGGAGCCGUUACACAGGUACCCGCGCCAGCGGGCCACCGAGGCAGCAUUGAAAUACUACCCGUUAGUGACUGCGACUCUCACUCCUGGCGGAGGACACCGGUAGCCGGGCAGUUUGACUGGGGCGGUACGCGCUCGAAAAGAUAUCGAGCGCGCCCAAAGAUUUCCUCACGCGAGUCGGGAACUCGUGGAAGAGCGCAAGAGCAAACGGAAGUCUGACAGUGACAUUCCCAACGAGUGUCGCUGACGCGAAAGCGUGGUCUAGCGAACCUACGAGGUUCAUUCAUGGGACCCGUAGAUGACAGAAAAGCUACCUUAGGGAUAACAGAGUCGUCACCGGCAAGAGCACAUAUCGACCCGGUGGCUUGCUACCUCGAUGUCGGUUCCCUCCAUCCUGCCUGUGCAGAAGCAGGCAAGGGUGAGGUUGUUCGCCUAUUAAAGGAGGUCGUGAGCUGGGUUUAGACCGUCGUGAGACAGGUCGGCUGCUAUCUAUUGGGGGUGUUAAGGAACUUGACGUGAACGUUCGUAUAGUACGAGAGGAACUACGAAUGGGUGCCACUGGUGUACCGGUUGUCCGAGAGGGCAGAUGCCGGGCAGCUACGCACCACGGGGUAAGAGCUGAACGCAUCUAAGCUCGAAACCCACACGGAAAAGAAGUUCCACUGAGGACACUCGUAGAAGACGAGUUCGAUAGACUCGGGGUGUACGCAACGAGGCAACGAGUUGUUAAGCCCGCGAGCACUAACAGUCCAA